Molecule: long non-coding RNA, 15369 nt
Organism: Ictalurus punctatus (channel catfish)
Lineage: Eukaryota; Metazoa; Chordata; Actinopteri; Siluriformes; Ictaluridae
Source: Ensembl
UUCAGGAUUAUUCCAUAAUGAUGCAUAUGACUAUCUAUAAUGUGAUGUCUGGCACAUUUUAUGAAUUUUGCUCCAAACAUGUCAUGAAUGUAUUUUCACUGGAUGUAUUUCCCAUUUAGCUCCAGAGCAUUGUGAAAGAAUGCUAAUGGGAUGAAGUGGUGAGGCUAGAUUCUAUUGUGUCUUGACCAGUCCAAUUCAGAAUCUGCCUCGUCCCAAUGUUUAAGCCAGUUUGGCGGUUUCAAAGGAGAAAUUAUACAUUCGCACAUUGGGUAAUCCAAGGCCCCCCUUGUCCUUUGGGGAGGUCAACCUGCUCAUUUUAAUCCUGGGUCUUUUUCCUUCCCAUAGAAAAUCCUUGAUAAUUUUGUCAUAUGUUUUAAAAAUAGGGUCUGGAAUGUUCACAGGUGUCAUCACUGAUAUAAAAUUGAACUGCGAAGCAAUAACCAUUUUGAAUAUAUUCACUUUACCCCAUAGAGAGCUGCAGCUGUUCCCAUUUGUCCACAUUAUUAUAUAUAUAUUUUUUAUCUUUGACAGCAGUACUUCAUAAUUCAACAUCAUUAUAUCCUCCAAAUUCUGCGUUAGUUUAAUGCCAAGUACUUCAUACCCUUCAGAAUCCAUUUAAAGCCAAAUUAGGUCACUGUAUGGGAAUGACAUGUUCUAGAUAGGCAUAGCCUCAGAUUUCUCCCAGUUUAUUUUGCAUCCUGACACACUUGAAUAUAAUUGAAUAAUACUCAUUAAUGGAGAUAGAGAUUUGAGAGUAUCACGGGAUAACAAAAAAAACAUAUCAUAACUUGUAUUCCAUCCCCUCCUCUACCUCCCUUACUCCCACAAUGUUUGGGUCUGCUUAUAAUAUUCAGCUGGAAACCCAUCCGCCCCUGGUGAUUUGCCAGACUUCAUAGAGGUUAUUGCAGCUUUGACCUGCUCUUGUUAAUGGGAAGGUCUAGAGACUCGGAUUGCAAUACAUCUAAUUUAGGUAACUCUAUAUUACAAAAUUUUUUUCAGUUUUUCUCCAUCCAGACUACCUGAAGAUGUAUAUAAAUGUUUAUAGAACUUCUGAAAACCUCUUUUAUUUCCUUUGUUAGUGAUACCAUAGCAUAUCCUUUCUUAAUUGCUGGAAUAAUGUUAGCAGCAUUUUGUGUUUUAAUUGUCUGGAAAGGAGCUUGCCCGCUUUUUCACCUCCUUCAUAAAAACCUUGUCCGUAGUCUAAAUAGUGCAUAUUCAUCUUUUUUAUUAUAUAUAAAAUAUUGUAAUUGAAAUUUGUAUUUACAAAUAUCCUGAUAUAGAUCAGUAGAGUAUCAUCUAGUCAGCUCCUUCUCCAAUGUACAAAUUGUUGCUUCAAAUUUCUUAACCGAGUCUCUUCCUUCCAUUUUUUUCUUUCUAGCUGUAUGUGCAAUCAGUUUUCCUCUAAUGUAUGCCUAGUGCUUCCCACAUUCAAUUAAAAGAAGGAAGUCAGAUCAUCAGCCAAUAAUGUGUUAAACUCUUCAUCUUGUAAUAAUGCAGUAUUUCAAUGCCACCUUCCCUUUCUACCAGCUUCCGUACUUAGCGCUAAAUCCAAUUCCAAUCGUGUGGUCUGACAAUACUAUUGCUCCAAUUUUACAAUUUAAUCUACUACCUGAUCAAUGAUAGAAUUCGAAAGCAAGAAAAAAGAGUGAGAUUUAUGGCAAUGAGAAAAAAUGAACAACCCCAAUUCCAAAAAAGUUGGGACGCUGUGUAAAAUGUAAAUAGAAAUAGAAUGAUUUGCAAACCUUAUAAACCCAUAUGUUAUUCACUAAUUGCAUUCUGUUUUCAUUUAUUUACAUUUUACAGUGUCCAAAAUUCUUUUCAAAAUUGGGGUUGUAUACUCUCUUUCUGUUGGAGUGACCAGGCGCCAUAUGUCAAUCAAUCCAAUAUCCUCUUUUAGCAUAAGAAGGGAAGAUCUAUCUCUUGGUAUAGAAAGUCCUUGAUAUUUACUCUUAACCAUAAUCCCAUCCAUAACCUGAAUAAAUUCCUCAGCCAAAAUUAUUUGCCCCUCUUUGUCACCAAGAAUCUUGUUUACUUUAUUAAUAAAACCCGGAUCUGUAUUAAUAGGGGCAUACACAUAAUAUCACUUUAGAUUAUAUGCAAUGUAUAUGACUUCCAUUAAUGAGGGUUUCUAUACACAUAAUCCUCUCAACAUCGACUUUAGUUUCUGUUAUCAUUACAAAAUUCAGCCUCUAAUUUAUCAGGAUCAUUACUUAAUUUUGUUUGCUCAUAAAUAAUGAAUAAAAUACAUUUGUACGGAAGCCCUAAGCGGCCAUGCAUUAUUAAUUUUUUUCUUUGUUGUUUUCUCGUGAUUGUGACAUAAAAAAAGCUGUUUCCUUGUGACGUAAAUUUAUCACGAGAAAAUCUCACGCUUUGUGAAUGGGACUGGUGUUACAUGCAAGUUGGCAUCUACACCAUUAUAAAUAUAAUAAUUUCCUGUUGUAGAGAUGGAUUUUAUCUCCACAUUAAGAGAGAGGGAUAUCCUCUUCUCAAGUGUCGGACACUGGAGUGGCAGUCGUCAAUCCUGCAGGGAUGAGGUAUAUUUUUGUAGGCCAACCCGGAAGUUAUUAUCACCCUGGUUCCCUCGACAAAAAUCCAAUAAGAGUUUUCCAGUGAAUUUGGAUUAUUGCAGAAAAUAAACACUGUGACUAACAAGUAUAAACACAACAAGGCUGUAGUAGAUUAGUUUUCCUGUUUGGCGUGAUGAUGUUUAAUGUCCUCGACAACCUCUGUAAUACCAUUUAGCCACUUGUUAGCAACUGUCUCUUUCAAGACACGUAAAAGCUUUAAAAAAAAAAAAAAUCCUGAGUGGGGUAUUACUGAUGUGUUUUAGUGGUUCACAAACUGGGGUACGUGAGGUGACGGAGGGGGUACGGGAGCAAAAGGCUGAGAUUUACUGUUCAUUUAAUUCCGCCUCACUGAAUAACAUUAAAAUUCUAAUCCAUGUUUUUCUCACGGCCAAAAAAUAAACUUGUGCCCCCUCCAGUGUACAAACAGCAAAAUUGCAAUGUUAUAAAGGUCAAAUAUAUGACAUCCAGUCAAAUUAUCCUGUCAAAACACAUUUUGUUGGACUGCAAAAGGUAUGAGGAGGAAAGAACUGAGCUAGAGAUGCAGAUUGGAAAACAAAACAUGACACUAGAGAACUUGCUGGGGAAAACAUCUGGGAAAAUGCACCGCCCCCUAAUAAACUAUUUAAAAAAUGCUGGGAUAAGUGAGAGACUUUAGUAAUCUAGUAGGAAUAUCUACUAUACAGCUAUUUGUCUCUUUAUUUUCUUUUAUUUAUGUAUUAUUGUGUUGGUAUUAUUAUUAUUAAUUUGUUUCUUUUAUUUUUUAUUUUAUUAUAUUUUCCUUAUUUAUUAUUUGGUUGUUUUUCUUUUCUUGCCCAUCUACUGCCUACACUCCAGUCCAGUAGGUGGCGGUAAUGCACCUUUAGUGGUUUGCCAACCGCCAUUAAAACAUGAAGAAGAAGAAGAAGAAGAAGAAAUUAUCCUGUCUUUCGCGGUCAAAACUGCAUCCACUCACAAUCAUGCGUCAGUGCGCAUCUUACCGCAUGUCAUUUAUCACCAGCACAUGGCUAUAUGAUGAAGUUAAGUAAUAGCUCGUAACCUUAAAAUGGAGAAGUACAAAGAUUUCGGCCCGCAACCACAGCAAGCACCGCUGAUCCCCAGUCCUCAGACAGCAGUGGCCCAGGUCCCUCUAACACCGCAUCCGUAGCAAGUGUACUCAUUGCUACUAGCCCAGGUCACACUGAUGCAGACAGCGAUGUAUGAGUUGAAACGCCAUCUCUUCUUCACAAGCAGUUCGCAGAAAAAACAUCAAAGAUGCGCAGAUAUGAUGAGAAAUAUAUUUCUUUGGGCUUUACAUACGCUGACAGUGAAGAAAAUCCCCAGCCACAGUGUGUAUAUGUGCAAACGUACUCUUUCAUAACUGCAUGAAACCAGCAUUUCUGCGCAGACAUUUAGAAACAAAGCAUGCCAUUUACUUUUUGCUAAAUAAACCUCGAGAGCUUUUUGAAAGACAUUUAAGACAACUCAGAAGUAGUAAGACCCUCAUAACAGUGUAGGAAAACCUAAAUAGGAAGGUCUGGAAGCAUCCUACAUGGUGAGCUACAGAGUGGCUGAGACAGGAAAACCCCAUACUAUUGUGGAGGACUUCAUUCUUCCUGCUGCAGCUGAUAUAGCUGGUUUAAUGCUUGGCGAAAAGCCCCCAAAACAAAAAAACAAUAGAGAGGAUGCCAUUUGGUAAGGUGAAAUUGAUUAAAUUUAUAUUUCUCAAUUUAUUUAAUCAUUCCUCUCUUUCCCUUGUAAACAUUACACAAUCAUACAUGUUCAACAGUCUUCACCACAUGUCAAGCAUAAUCAUGUUUGAUGUUUCCCUAUUUUCAGCAACGAAUGAUUUAAUCCAGAAUGUCCUAUUCGGAGCCGAGUGAUAAUUGUAUUUUCUCUCCUAUUUUUUGAGACCUAUUCUCCCUUUCCCAACCUGUUUUUGGCUAUUGAAUAGGUGCCUUCCCUUUUUUCCUUUGUCCCACAUUUCACAUUCACAAGUUCUCUCAUUCUUCCUUCUACUGCUUCUUUACCUAGUGGUAUAUGGUAUAUAUGGUAUAACUUUAACAUCCACAUGAUCCAUUGUCCACUAUUUCAUUUCCUCAUACUCCCACAUGUGCUGCUACACAAAGAAAUCUCAGAACCAUCCCUAGUUUCUGAAUUCUAAGCAGAUGUGUAAGUAUCUCAUAUACUAAAUCUUGUCUUGAAUCAGACUUCCCAUUUAAUAAGCUAUUUAAAGGUGAUUGAGAGUCUGGACAAAUAGCAGCAAAAUCACUAUAAACUCUGUUGUAAAAACUGAUACAUAAUUAGUUGUCCAUUUUUUUAAUGCUGCCUUUGAACCUCUUAAUAUAUACCACCGCAGCUGUUUUUUCUAAUGUAGGAUCUUUUGAACCAUUGGUGAAUAUGUGGGGCAUUGAAGAGUAUUCCUGAUCUAAAUACUGCUGUACAAUAACCUCCUUAGGUAUAUAUGUUUCAUUCUUAACUUUAUAUUAUAGAUGGAAAUUGACUUGAGCCAUGGGGAACAACCAGGGAGGUUUAUUUAGUACUACAAUUGUUGGAUUAACUGAAGUUUCUGUAACUCCCAAAUUCAUAGACUCUUUAUUCGCUGUCCAACCAAAACUUCUUAUAUUAUUAUUCCCACACUUCCAGCACUCUUGUAGUAUUUCCUUAACUGGGUGUGUCUCAGAAUGUCCUUUCAUAUUAAUCCAAUAAUUCAUUGUUAAUUUUAACUUGCGUAUACACAUGGGCAUUUCUCCCACCUCCAUUUGCGCUGCUGUUAUUGGAGAGGAUACAAAAGCACCACAACAUAUUCUUAACAAUUGUGCCUGUACUGUUUCAAUUUUCCUCAUCAAGGCUAAUGAUGCAGACCCAUAUAUUAUAUAUCCAUAAUUCAGUAGUGACCUGAUCAAUGCACAAUAUAUUUGUUAUGAAGAUUUUUGACUAGCUCCCCAUUCCAUUCCUGCUAGACAUCUUAAUAAAUUAUUAAUUUUUUUGUUUAUUUAUAUAUAUUAUGACUGGUUAAUUGCUGUCUGGAAAGCAUGAAUCACAGAUCGAGCUUUUGCUGAUGUAAAUGGUGCCAUGGAACAGUUAAAACGUAGUCAUAAUAAUCACUAAGGCCUUGUAUAUAUUUCCAGGUUGCCAAGGGCAAACUGCUUUAUGUUUGUGUUCAUGUAUGUUUCAGUGACAGCAGAUGGCAGUGAAGAGAAGCAGCGUUAUUAGAUUAGACAUUCCCAAACUAGAUGUGUUUGUGGACAGUGGGGAUCUGUUCUCUGAUAUGCUGGGACACGUGAUAGGACUGACGGAAAGUCCCAGCUUUAUUUAUACUCAACAUCAUUCUGGGUUGUUCCCCUCAUACCAGUCAACGCUUUUAAUAAGAAGAAUUUGAACCUGUUUCACUAAAUUUUAAUGUUUAUGUGCGUCAGAACCUUUUUUUCAGCACAGAUAAUAAAAAACUGCACAACUUAAACACAGAGAGUAGUGUAUACAGGUAAGUGACACUCAGUGCCCCUGCUUUUUUUUUAAAGUUAUCAUUUGCUAGAAAAGAAACUCUCUAGAUUUUACCGGGCUGAUUGCUCAGAUUUAUUAUUUCCUACACUGUCAGUCAAAUGUUUACCUUUUUGGUUAAACUUAAAGAAAUGAGUUAAAUACCAUAGAAUUACAGACACAUACACUCACCAUCCAGUUUAUUAGAAAGAUCUGUACACGGGAGUCAUUCGUGCAGUUAUCCAGUCAGCCAAUCAUGUGGCAGCAGCACAAUGUAUAAAAUCACGCAGAUACAGGCCAAAGCUUCAGUUCUCUGUAAACUUUAGAGACUGUUGUGUGUGAAAAUCCCAGGAGAUCAGGAGUUUCUGAAUUAUUCAAAUCAGCCCCUCUGGCAGCAACAACCAUGCCACAUUUAAGGUCACAGGGAUGCCACCCCCCACCCCCCAUUCUGAUGCUUGACAUUAACAUUAACUGAAGCUCUUGAUCUGUAUCUGCAUUAUUUUUUGCAUUGAACUGUUGCCACAUGAUUGGCUGAUUGGUUAACUGCAUGAAUGAGCAGAUGUACCUAUUAAAGUGGAUGACAUGUUUUGUGUUACACUUGACAAUAUGUCUAAUAUCAACUGUAAGAUCAGUGUAGACUUAGAGUAACAUCUCCAUGGCACCAGUACCUCACUUAUGGAUCUGUGAAAGAUGAAGACAGACGCCACAUUGAGAGAGAUAAAGGAGUGGCUGGCACACCCGUGUCACACACUUCAAAGCCGGGCAAGGAGGAGCAGGAACCUCGAUGGAUGGAUGGAUGUCGAGUACACAGGAAAAAAAUCACGAGAAUAUAACUUUUGUUAUAUCGAGAUCACCAGAAAACAAGAAAGAAAAAAAUAAUAAUGCAUGGCUGCUUAGCGUUUCCCUGUUUAAUGGCGGUUGACAAGCCAAUUAAUGGUGUAUUACCGCCACCAAGUGGACUGGAGUGUGAAGCAUUAAUAAGAAGGGGUAUAUAAUAUGUUUAUUAAAUCCUAUGUUCCAAUCCUGUUCCCCUGAGAUAAUUAAGUAUUUUUCUUUGUAUUUUUGACUGUCCUGAAGCACAAUUCAAUAGGUUUGGUAAGGUGAAAUUGAUUAAAUUUAUAUUUCUCAAUUUAUUUAAUCAUUCCUCUCUUUCCCUUGUAAACAUUACACAAUCAUACAUGUUCAACAGUCUUCACCACAUGUCAAGCAUAAUCAUGUUUGAUGUUUCCCUAUUUUCAGCAAUGAAUGAUUUAAUCCAGAAUGUCCUAUUCGGAGCCGAGUGAUAAUUGUAUUUUCUCUCCUAUUUUUUGAGACCUAUUCUCCCUUUCCCAACCUGUUUUUGGCUAUUGAAUAGGUGCCUUCCCUUUUUUCCUUUGUCCCACAUUUCACAUUCACAAGUUCUCUCAUUCUUCCUUCUACUGCUUCUUUACCUAGUGGUAUAUGGUAUAUAUGGUAUAACUUUAACAUCCACAUGAUCCAUUGUCCACUAUUUCAUUUCCUCAUACUCCCACAUGUGCUGCUACACAAAGAAAUCUCAGAACCAUCCCUAGUUUCUGAAUUCUAAGCAGAUGUGUAAGUAUCUCAUAUACUAAAUCUUGUCUUGAAUCAGACUUCCCAUUUAAUAAGCUAUUUAAAGGUGAUUGAGAGUCUGGACAAAUAGCAGCAAAAUCACUAUAAACUCUGUUGUAAAAACUGAUACAUAAUUAGUUGUCCAUUUUUUUAAUGCUGCCUUUGAACCUCUUAAUAUAUACCACUGCAGCUGUUUUUUCUAAUGUAGGAUCUUUUGAACCAUUGGUGAAUAUGUGGGGCAUUGAAGAGUAUUCCUGAUCUAAAUACUGCUGUACAAUAACCUCCUUAGGUAUAUAUGUUUCAUUCUUAACUUUAUAUUGUAGAUGGAAAUUGACUUGAGCCAUGGGGAACAACCAGGGAGGUUUAUUUAGUACUACAAUUGUUGGAUUAACUGAAGUUUCUGUAACUCCCAAAUUCAUAGACUCUUUAUUCGCUGUCCAACCAAAACUUCUUAUAUUAUUAUUCCCACACUUCCAGCACUCUUGUAGUAUUUCCUUAACUGGGUGUGUCUCAGAAUGUCCUUUCAUAUUAAUCCAAUAAUUCAUUGUUAAUUUUAACUUGCGUAUACACAUGGGCAUUUCUCCCACCUCCAUUUGUGCUGCUGUUAUUGGAGAGGAUACAAAAGCACCACAACAUAUUCUUAACAAUUGUGCCUGUACUGUUUCAAUUUUCCUCAUCAAGGCUAAUGACGCAGACCCAUAUAUAUCCAUAAUUCAGUAGUGACCUGAUCAAUGCACAAUUUAUUUGUUAUGAAGAUUUUUGACUAGCUCCCCAUUCCAUUCCUGCUAGACAUCUUAAUAAAUUAUUAAUUUUUUUGUUUAUUUAUAUAUAUUAUGACUGGUUAAUUGCUGUCUGGAAAGCAUGAAUCACAGCUGGAGCUUUUGCUGAUGUAAAUGGUGCCAUGGAACAGUUAAAACAUAGUCAUAAUAAUCACUAAGGCCUUGUAUAUAUUUCCAGGUUGCCAAGGGCAAACUGCUUUAUGUUUGUGUUCAUGUAUGUUUCAGUGACAGCAGAUGGCAGUGAAGAGAAUCAGCGUUAUUAGAUUAGACAUUCCCAAAGUAGAUGUGUUUGUGGACAGUGGGGAUCUGUUCCCUGAUAUGCUGGGACACGUGAUAGGACUGACGGAAAGUCCCAGCUUUAUUUAUACUCAACAUCAUUCUGGGUUGUUCCCCUCAUACCAGUCAACGCUUUUAAUAAGAAGAAUUUGAACCUGUUUCACUAAAUUUGAAUGUUUAUGUGCAUCAGAACCUUUUUUUUCAGCACAGAUAAUAAAAACUGCACAACUUAAACACAGAGAGUAGUGUAUACAGGUAAGUGACACUCAGUGCCCCUGCUUUUUUUUUUUUAAGUUAUCAUUUGCUAGAAAAGAAACUCUCUAGAUUUUACCGGGCUGAUUGCUCAGAUUUAUUACUUCCUACACUGUCAGUCAAAUGUUUACCUUUUUUGGUUAAACUUAAAGAAAUGAGUUAAAUACCAUAGAAUUACAGACACAUACACUCACCAUCCAGUUUAUUAGAAAGAUCUGUACACAGGAGUCAUUCGUGCAGUUAUCCAGUCAGCCAAUCAUGUGGCAGCAGCACAAUGUAUAAAAUCACGCAGAUACAGGUCAAAAGCUUCAGUUCUCUGUAAACUUUAGAGAGACUGUUGUGUGUGAAAAUCCCAGGAGAUCAGGAGUUUCUGAAAUAUUCAAAUCAGCCCCUCUGGCAGCAACAACCAUGCCACAUUUAAGGUCACAGGGAUGCCCCCCCAAUUCUGAUGCUUGACAUUAACAUUAACUGAAGCUCUUGAUCUGUAUCUGCAUUAUUUUUUGCAUUGAACUGUUGCCACAUGAUUGGCUGAUUGGUUAACUGCAUGAAUGAGCAGAUGUACCUAUUAAAGUGGAUGACAUGUUUUGUGUUACACUUGACAAUAUGUCUAAUAUCAACUGUAAGAUCAGUGUAGACUUAGAGUAACAUCUCCAUGGCACCAGUACUUUACUUAUGGAUCUGUGAAAGAUGAAGACAGAAGCCACAUUGAGAGAGAUAAAGGAGUGGCUGGCACACCCGUGUCACACACUUCAAAGCCGGGCAAGGAGGAGCAGGAACCGGCUGAACAUAAACGUAAAGUUCAAUAAUAAAAAAAUCUCAAACAUAAUGUAAAACACACAAACGUAGGCCAAACACAAAGCACACAUGUGUCUCUCUCCCACUGGUGCUUCAAGCCGCUCCUUUAUCUCUCUCUCCUCACACCCUGGCUUCUCCCUUCUCCCCGUCACAUGAACAUUGGGACCUGAAAAUGCUGCAGAGUAUUAAAAUAUCAUAAUAAAUGAAUACAUGAACCUUUGUACAACUAUUAACUGUCCAAUUCACAAUAUAGCAGAAAAAUGAUCAAUAAACUAACUUUUUUUUUUUUAGCAAAUACAUGUCUAUAAAUGUCUAUCCUUCAUUUGUGUUUAUUUGCUGAUCUGCCAGAUUUGUUGUGUACAGCAAAUAAAGAUGAUUACAAGAUAAGAUAAUUCUACUGUAUUUCUCAAGAACAUUGUUAUUCCAUUGUUAUUGCGAGGUUACCGAUUCACAUGAAGCUCAUUUUACUUAUAAGGAUGGAAAUUAGCUAAUUAGUUCAAUCAGCUAUGUUAGGAGCAUGUAAAACACUAAAAUGCACAGGACAGAGGGUACUCCAUGACCAGGUCUGGGAAUCUGUGCCAUAGAGUGUGUUUUUUUUGUUUGUUUGUUUGUUUUUUAAAUGUAAAUGUUCAAUACACAUGUAUGCAAAAAAAAAAAGAAAAGUUUAUACAUACACCUUAAACAGUUCAAUAACAACUCACCAUAUACUACAUGUCUGAACACUGAUUAUUAAUUAUUAACCUCAAGUUAUUUUUAUGUCUUAUCCCCAGGUGUAGGAUGUAAACUAUUUAAACAUAGCAUAUCUAAUUAUUCCCCUUUCAUACAAUAUGGCCAGAUGUUUGUGGACACCUGACUAUCACAGCCAUAUGUGGUUCUUCCCAAAACUGUUGCCAGAAAGUUGGAAGCACACAAUUGUAUAGAAUGUCUCUGGAUGCUAUAGCAUUACGAUUUCCCUUCACUGGAAAUAAGAGGCCCAAACCUGCUCCAGCAUGACAAUGCCACAGCAAAUGGGGACUAAAACUGGAAAGGAAUGUUCAAGAAGCACAUAUGGUGUGAUGGUCAGGUGUCCACACUUUUGAUGUAGUGUAUUUAAAUAUAGUAUAUAUAAUUAUUCCCCCUUUCAUAUAUUCAGAACUGCUGAAGAUUACUUUACAAACUAGUCUUCGCAGCAGGUCUCUGCGGAUGUCACACGCCUUUGGCCUUGCCUUAUCACAGAACUGCCAGUCCAUAUUUAUCAGUCUGAUACAGUACACACCAAAUACCAGAGAAUCCAAUGGCUGAUACAGCACCCACCAAAUUCUAAUUUUCAUAUAAUUUGACUGCUAAACAAAGCAGACGAUUUGGCAUCAGUAAACCAGAACAGAAUUUGCAUUUGUUUUGCAUACUUUUGGCAAAGGCAUUCUUUCAAGGCGUGUUCCCAUGCUUUGAAAGAUCAAGUGUGAUAUUAUUGUGGAGACACGAAAUAAAUUUGAGCUCUUAUAUGGAAAAUAAACUCAAAUAAUAUCAAUCACCAUAUAUCAACAAUACAGUAUAUAAUACAGUGGCAAUAUGGUAAGUUAACAAACUCUGUGACAUCUUAAAGAUGUUUUUCACAAAAGCAGAAGUCAUUAAUAUGCUGGUUUUGAGAGGCUUUUCUCACUUGUGCACACACUGCACAAAAGAGCUGCAACAACUAAUCAAUAAAAUCGAUAAUAAUCGAUUAUGAAAAUCAUCAAUGAAUCUCAUUAUCAAUUAGUUGGUCUGCGCACGGCACAGGGGAGAUUUACUCAUUAUGUUACUUCCAUCCAUCCUCUAUACCACUUUAUCCUUUUCAGGGUCACAGGGAACCUAUCCCAGUGAGCAUUGGACACAAGGCCGGGUAUACCCUGGACUGGGCAGGGUACAGUCCCAUACACACUCACACACCCAUUUAUACACUUUGGACAUGCCAAUCAGCCUACAAUGCAUGUCUUGACUGGGGGAGGAAACCGGAGUACCCGGAGGAAACCCCCGCAUCACGGGGAGGACAUGCAAACUCCGCACACACAGGGACAAUCGAGUUGCAAGACCUUCAGUGAAAUAACCAAGUAAUUCGAUUAAGCCAGAGGUUCUCAACCUUUUGCAACUAAAGCCCCCUCAAAACCUUCCCUAUCAUGUGGCACAAAAAAAGUCGCUAAAGGGGUCUGAAAAGUCGCUACGUUGCCAACAGUGGUCUGCACUCACAGCUAGAUAAAAGGCAGGCUAAGCUCCACCUCUCCCCAGCAAUAAAAAAUACAGAGGGAGAGAGAACGCAGAGUUUUUCCAUUUCUGCACAUUCUAUUUGAAAAGCAGUAAAAUACACAGAGUACCCAAAUGAUGCCCUGUCUGUGAAUUCUAAAAACAUUUGCGCCCCCCUUCUGGUCUCGGCGCUCCCCACUGGUUGAGAACCACUGUAUUAAGCUAUUUAGGAUAAUGGUUAAGUUUGUUUAAGUGUCUGUAUAAUCUCCAUAUACCAUACAGGUGGAGUAUACAAAAUAUUUAGAAAACAAAUACAUCUCGUACUAUAAUGUCCACAUGCAGCUAGAACUAAGCUUUCUGAUUACAUAGUAACUCUGGAUGGCCUUUCUGUUUCAUCAUGUGCAGUAGUAAAAGACCUUGGUGUGAUUAUUGACUCCAGUCUUUCAUUUAAAGCUCAUGUAGAUAAUAUUACUAGGAUGGCCUUCUUUCAUCAUAGAAAUAUUGCUAAAUAAGAAAUAUAAUGUUUCUAAGGCACUACACAAGGCAGAAAAAUUAGUUCACGUUUUUGUUACCUCUAGUUUGGAUUAUUGCAAUGUCUUACUGUCUGGAUAUUCCAAUAGGAGCAUAAACAAACUCCAAUUAGUCCAGAAUACAGCUGCAAGAGUCUUUACUAGAACCAGAAGAUAUGACCACAUCACCCCUAUCUUAUCCACACUACAUUGGUUACCACGCAAACUUCGUACUGAUUAUGGUCAAUAUUAUACUGAAUGGUCUCACUCCACAGUACCUGAUCAAACUUUUGGUACUUUAUGAUUCACCAAGUCUACUCGAUCAAAAGGUGCAGGUCAUUUGUUGGUACCUUGAAUAGUGAAGGAUACAGCAGGGGGUAGAGCUUUCUCUUACAAAUCCACACAGUUAUGGAACAGUCUUCCAAUUAGUGUUUGGGAAUCAGACACAGUCUCAGUUUUUAAGUCAAGGUUAGGUCAAGGCUUUUGUGAAUAGUAUUUUCUUAUUUAAAAGAGCAGUUUUGGAGGGUUCAUGUGCAAAAUGUUGUGGUGAAUUGGGAUGUUUGGAUGCUGUCGCCCCCCACUCUUACAUGUUCACUCACACUUUAUGUCCCAGGAUGCCCUCAUGUCUGUGUUGCCUUCUGGCUCUCCCUUUUAGUUAUGCUGUCAUAGCUAGUCUUGUUGGAGUCCCUGCUUGCACUCUGCACACAAAGUACAUUGUCCUUAACUAUUACAAGACAAUAAGCCAAAAAUACCUAAUAAUCUCCUGUUUCUCUCUCUCUCUCUCUCUCUCUCUCUCUCUCAAGCUACACAUGCUACUCCUGAGAUAUCAGUGAUUCUGCCUGCCUGAUCCAUCCUGAUGCCCUACUUCUAGUUGGAGUUCUUAUCAAGUGGAAAUUACUUGCUGCUGCUGAGGAUGGCCCCACAUGGUGCAGCCUAAACAUAAUUUAGAUUAGAGUAUGGUACCACUUAAACAAUCAUGAAAAUGGCUCUGGGCCACAAUUCAUAUAAACAGUUAUGCUAUGAUGGCUUAGGACUACAAUGGCUAUGAUAGCUUAAGGACUGCAGUUGCCACAAACAGUUUUGCACUCCAAGUCUAUCAGUCUAUCUUUUUCCCUUGUAACACAAUUGCAUUGUUUGACCAUGUAGUGCACAGUUAAAGUCCUCAUUCAUAACUCCAAACAUUUUCAAUUCAAUUGAAAUACUAAUUCUCUUUUGAGUGACCAGCAAUUUGUAAACUUUUUUAUUUUGCUAUUUGACAGUUCCAUUGAUUUGAUCACCUUUUGCACAAUUGCCCAUAGAGUUAAGCACUAAUAGCAGCCAACUGGGGAAGGAAUCACACUGCUCCAUUCUCACACUAUAAACAUUUUCAGUGGAGGAGGAGCAUCACUGCCAAGAUCUUGUUUUUAUAGCAAAUGGUCUGAAUCAAAUAUAACAAAUGUCCAUAAACAAAGGCAAAAAGUAAGUGCGGUAUUCUAUGAUGUACAAAAGUAUUUCUAUUUUAAGAUAUAGAUUGUGAGAGGGAAAGGGAAACAGAUAGGGAGUAGAUAAUGUCUGCACACCAGAUAUAUAAAUAUACAUAUAUAUCCUUGGUAACCUUAUAACCCACACAGAGGCUGAGAAAAUCUUUUGUGUGGUAUUUGAGCUGUAGUUUGGUUAAAUGAUAUCUGGGUGUGCCAUGCACAAUGUGACACUGUGAUGCACACCUGCUCUAUCAAUUACAGCUGAACAAAGGUACAUCUAUGUAACUGUGCUGAAUGACUAUGUUGUUUAUUCUCAACUACGUAUUAUGAGGUAACUAAAAAAAAAAAAAUCAAUAGAUAGUAGCCUAUAGCAAUUUCACAAUAAAGGUGAAAAACAUUCUGGCAUGGUUUAAUUGUUGGCUGGUGGGAAAGAAUUUGCAAAUUGUACAUUAAAUGCUGUUGUUAGUGGUGAAACUUUUGUUAGUGGUAUGCUUAAAAGAGAGUGGGAAAUUAUGCCGGUCCAACCCUAAAAUGUGUUUGUAGGAAUAUUCCAGUUGGGAUUCUAAAACUAAGGUUCAUCAGUGUUCUUCCAGCUUUGUUUCUGGAGAAAAGCAUUUAAUAUUCUUGGGUGGUCUUUACAGUAAUAUAUAUUAAAGCAUUUGUAUUUAUUUAAGGGGUAUAUGUAGCAGACUUAAAAAGUAGUAUGGUUAAUGUGUGCACAUGCAUUAUUUGGUGCAUAGUUAUGGCUAGUUUAACUUUUAGUUACAUGUGAACAACAUUUAUGCUGUACAUUUCUGCUGAACAUUUCUGCUGAACUAAACAUUUCUGCUGAACUACACAUUUCUGCUGAACAUUUCUGAUGAACUACACAUUUCUGAUGAACUGAACAUUUCUGAUGAUCUGAACAUUUCUGCUGAACAUUUCUGCUGAACUACACAUUUCUGCUGAACUAAACAUUUCACCAAAUUCAGGGAGGGUGUGCACAUUUUUCACACUACAUUAAGGGUGGGGAUCCUUCUAGACUGUGGAACAGAAAUGUAAUCAGUGUGUCUCCACAGAUUUAUUUCACAUUGGAGUACAACCAUUUUUCUCUUUUACCAUUAUGGACAAAACAUCUGUUUCUUUUAAAACAUCAUCUUUAAAUGUUUUUUCUACCUCCUAAAGAACCCUCGGACUUAAGAGACGGAGACGAUGUUCGGAGUUGUUGACGCCCUGCUCAGGGUUAAACAAAAACAUCUUUACAAUAUCUUCAUGGAUAAAUUGUCAAACUAACAUCUUGUUUUUUUUUCUUGGAGCAGAAGUCAGGUUCUCUGUCAUUUCAACAGGUCCCCUUGUCGGUGAAUACACAGCAUUCUUCUAGGGGUAUUAGGAUUUCUCAGAGCAGACAUUGUAACAGAUAGUUGCAGAGGUUCUUCUGUGUUUUAACUACAACGUCUUAACCAUUAUUUAAACACUGAGAUGCACAACUCUCUCCUUAAUUCGUUAACAUAAACACAUUUGUAAGCAUUCU